Molecule: small nucleolar RNA, 80 nt
Filed under: Drosophila mojavensis
Lineage: Eukaryota; Metazoa; Arthropoda; Insecta; Diptera; Drosophilidae
Description: snoRNA:GI25383
Source: RNAcentral
UGCGUAUUAAUUAGAACCGGUUAUUGGACCUCGCAGCUAAUCGGUGUCAAUAUAUGCCAAAUGAACCCAGCAAGCAUUUU